GACAAUCGUGUGGCCUUGGCACUGCUUGAUGGUGCCCAGGAGAAGACUGAGGCUCCCCGCCCAGGGUCUGGAGCCGGGCCUCAAGCUGUGUCUCCAUUGCCCGGGCUCCACAGCAGUGGGCUGACUUCAGGGCAC
This is a microRNA precursor of Equus caballus (horse), 135 nucleotides long. The record is from Ensembl. Lineage: Eukaryota; Metazoa; Chordata; Mammalia; Perissodactyla; Equidae.